Monodelphis domestica (gray short-tailed opossum) is the source of this 898-nucleotide non-coding RNA. The record is from the annotation of a RefSeq genome assembly. NCBI's taxonomy places the organism in Eukaryota, Metazoa, Chordata, Mammalia, Didelphimorphia, Didelphidae.
CUGUACACAGAGUUCUUGGAGGAGCCUCCACCAUGGCCUGGACGCUGCUCCUCUUCCAGCUCCUUACUCUCUGCAUAGGUUCGAUGGCUGCCUAUGUGGUCACUCAGCCACCCUCAGUGUCCAUGUCUCUGGGAGAACAAGUCAGCCUGUCCUGUGAUGGGGAUGGUAUUGGUAACAACUAUGUUUCCUGGUACCAGCAGAAGCCUGGCCAAGCCAUUCUACCACUUAUUUAUGGUGAUAGCAACCGGCCUGAAGGGAUCCCUGAGCGAUUCUCUGGCUCCAACUCAGGGAACACAGCCACGCUAAGCAUCUCUGGGCUCCAGGCUGAGGAUGAGGCCGAUUAUUACUGCUUAGCGUCGGGUAGUAGUGGUGUACACAGUGACACAGACUGAUGGGGAAGUGAGACAAAAACCCCUGCCAGCCUCUGCUCACACAGCGCCCUUCCUCCUGGAGAAGUGGCUGGUGAAGACAGACAUCAACAACUUCUCCUUCAGGCCUCUCUUAUUCCCCAACUCCUUUCACAGCCAGAAGCAGAGCCAUUAUCAAACAUUUAUUAACAUUUAUACUGUGGUUGGACUAAGAGAAAUGGAGAUGGGCUAAGGCAGUCCAGAAUGAGUGUAGCCAGACAGGAAAUGAGAUGUUUGAGAGGAAACAUCGUCUCUGCUCUUUCAUCUGGGUGGUCCCAUCUUCCUCUCUGGCCCUCUUUUCCAAGGCUCCUUCCCCAGGCCCAGUUCCUCACCUGCUCCCCCCUCAUUCCUUGGUAUCUGCUACCCUCUGAAAGCCCAUUGUAGCCUUUCUCCUGCUUGGGCCACUUAGAUGAAGCUCUGGCCCCAGAGCCUUCUGGUCCGGGUCAGACCCACUUGGAUCUCAGGAUCUUCUCUCCCCCCUGGAAACUUAG